Long non-coding RNA from Panthera uncia (snow leopard), 1138 nucleotides. RefSeq lists it as uncharacterized. The transcript is spliced from 2 exons. Lineage: Eukaryota; Metazoa; Chordata; Mammalia; Carnivora; Felidae. The record is from RefSeq and is a predicted model, not a curated record.
GGCUAGCUUACAGAAUCCUACGAAAGACCCGAGACUCAAGAUUGUCUCAGGACUGGAUUUUAUAAUCCUGCUUGAGAUUUUACCAUCUCGGGAUCGUAAAAUGGGGAGGAAUAGGCGGCAAAAAAAAAAAAAAAAAAGGGUAGGAUGGAUCCCGUGUCACAGGACCUAGGACCGCACCCUGAAGCCUCCUGUGACUGCUUGGCCUCUGUGACACCGUCAGCCUGGACCCACCCCCCCCCGCACCCCCAGCCUGGGUGCUCAGAGAUCAAGGUUGCUGCUGCUGUCAGUAGCCUUCAUGCUUGCCUCUCAGCCCUUGACAGUGUCUGUGAGUCAGAGCACAGCCAGACCUCAGUGUCCUGUCCCCGCUGAACUGCAAGGGACCAGAAAACUGAGAGGAAAAUGGGAUACUCUCAGCCUUAUUUCGCACUAAUGCAGUGAGCACUCGAUGCCAGGUGCUCCUCGGAGGAUCUGGGUGUGGAGGACCUGUAUCAAAGUCUCCUGGACAAUUUGAUUUGAAAAACGUGCUUGGUGAAACCCGGUGACCCCGUCCAGUCGGUCCGGUCUGCGGAAGAGGGAGGUAUUGGGGUUACGUACCUCUGUGGUGUGAGUCUCCACUCAGCCCAGCUUCUCUUGCUGCCUCCAGGGCCCCACCUGAGGUCUGCUUCCAGGCCGGGAAAUACGUUCGCUGGAGAAGAGAAGGCUUUUCCAGCAGCCGAGACAAGGAAACCCUCUAAAAGACCAGGCGGUGUCCAGAGACAAAUAAAAGCACUUAACCAAGGAUCGCAGGUUUCCCUGUGGCCCCGGUGAGGGGCUGCUGAUCCAUUUAUUCUGCAAACAGCUUUGAACUAGACCACGUCUCAGUCAUCUCUUCGCUUACUUCCCGGGAUCUCGCUCAGACGUACAGGUAACAUAAUGUGCCCUUCAUAACUGAGGAGACAAGCAGCAAAGAAGUUGUGAUUCCUUUCAUGGUCACAUAGCUAGUGGCUGGGUGCAUACAAGGUUUAAAUCCAAGCUUUCGAACAGCGGGAUGCAAAGACGUCCCCUGAAACCCAAAAGGUCUCGUGAAAUUUCAUUUAAGAGCUCACUUACCAUUUGUUGAAGGGGAUGAUGAUAGUGUUCUUGGAAGUAUGACAAAUAA